GAGCUUGUAGGUGACACCAAGCUGAGUGGUGCAGGACACACCUGAAGGGUGGGAUGCCAUCCAGAGGGAUCUGGACAAGCUCGAGAAGUGGACCCAUGGGAACCUUGUGAAGUUCAACAAGGCCAAGUGCAAGGUCCUCUGCCUGGGUCAGGACAACCCUUGGUAUCAAUACAGGCUGAAGGAUGGAUGGAUUGAGAGCAGCCCUGUUGAGAAGG
Molecule: long non-coding RNA, 215 nt
Organism: Corapipo altera (White-ruffed manakin)
Lineage: Eukaryota; Metazoa; Chordata; Aves; Passeriformes; Pipridae
Exons: 3
Source: RefSeq, a predicted model, not a curated record